Parasteatoda tepidariorum (common house spider) is the source of this 480-nucleotide long non-coding RNA. The record is from RefSeq and is a predicted model, not a curated record. NCBI's taxonomy places the organism in Eukaryota, Metazoa, Arthropoda, Arachnida, Araneae, Theridiidae.
AGUUGUUUUUUUCUGCUACGAUUGUAACUGGUAAAAGGAUUAGGAAAUGAAUUAAUGUUUGUUUUAGAAGUGUAAGAAAUGGUAUAAAAUCGCAAGUUGAGAAGAUAUUGUUCACCACUAGAUUUGUUUGCCAGAAUUAUUCUGUUCAUCUAUCAAAGAGGAAAGAGAAGAUGAAGACUUUUAUCAUUUUACUUGUUCUCAGCGUCUUUGCUGUCGCUUUUGCUGGUCAGCCAUCAGCAUGCAGAAUUCAACAACAAAUGGUUAGACAAUCGGGUGACAAAAGCGCUUUCAUGCCAAGAUGCGCGCCAAAUGGUGAUUAUGCUAAAGAGCAGUGCAGACCAAACAAGGAUGGAAUUCUGUUCUGCUGGUGUGCCAACACAGAGGGAAUUAGGCAAACAAAAUCUAAACAAGGACACCAAAACUGCUAAUAGUACGCAGCAUGAAAAUCAUUGUGAAAUAAACUUUGAAUUUUAAAACAAA